UUUAUCGUCCUGCAAUUCUACAAUUUGUCAACAAGUUGUGAAUGUUGUCACUCAUAACUUGUUGACAAAUUGUUGAAUUGCAGGACGGUAACAAGCAACAAC
Molecule: microRNA precursor, 102 nt
Filed under: Paramuricea clavata
Lineage: Eukaryota; Metazoa; Cnidaria; Anthozoa; Malacalcyonacea; Plexauridae
Source: RNAcentral